GUGUUGUAUGAAAGGAGAGAAGGUUAGCACUCCCCUUGAUAAGGAUGGAAGAGGCCUUGGUGGCCUUUACAACAUAUAUACGGUUAAGGCAUUGCCACCUAUUCUGUGGCAUCUAACCAUGUUUAG
This 126-nucleotide non-coding RNA is filed under the name Phascolarctos cinereus (koala). The record is from RNAcentral. Lineage: Eukaryota; Metazoa; Chordata; Mammalia; Diprotodontia; Phascolarctidae.